This 116-nucleotide transfer RNA is filed under the name Daldinia loculata. RNAcentral describes it as "tRNA-Pro". It matches the Rfam family "tRNA". From Rfam's summary of the family: Transfer RNA (tRNA) molecules are approximately 80 nucleotides in length. Their secondary structure includes four short double-helical elements and three loops (D, anti-codon, and T loops). The record is from RNAcentral. Lineage: Eukaryota; Fungi; Ascomycota; Sordariomycetes; Xylariales; Hypoxylaceae.
GGCUCAAUGGUCCAGUGGUAAGAUACUCGCUUCGGGUUAGCUAUGCUCUACUCCCGGUCUCUUUUAAAAGGGAUUGAAAAUGUGAGUGGUCCCGGGUUCGAAUCCCGGUUGAGCCC